CACCCACCGCCCAUACCUUUUUAGAUCAUUCUGAUGUGUCUGCAGACACAAAGUCAGUGGGGAAAAUGUGUAAUUCGUGCUCUGACACAACAACUUAAUUUAUUUCCAAAAUAGUUCCUUUGAGUAGGCCUAACUGUUCUGUGACCUGGCUGUCACUUAUAAAACCUGUAUAAAUCCGGAUUCUCACUACAGUCAAAUGGAUACAUGGACAUAAUCAGUAAUAACUUAACUUAAAGGGUGACUGCACUUCCUAAUUUGGCCUCGUUUUACAUUUGGGCAGAGAGGAAGAGGCGAAGCUUGGCCGGAUUUACUCCGCCCAAGCGGUACCAGAGCACCAAGUCUGGGACCAAAAGGAUCCUGAACAGCUUCUACCCCCAAGCCAUUAGACUGCUGAGUAGUUAAUCAAAUGGCUACAGGGACAAUUUGCAUUGACCCACUUUUUUUGCGGACUCUCUUGCUGGCUCUACGGACCUGAGCCCUAGGAUCAUGCCUCAGGACUACCUGGCCUGAUGACUCCUGGCUGUCCCCAGUCCACCUGGUCGUGCUGCUGCUCCAGUUUCAACUGUUCUGCCUGCGGCUAGGGAACCCUGACCUGUUCACCGGAUGUGCUACCCUGUCCCGGACCUGCUGUUUCCGACUCUCUCUACCGCACCUGCUGUCUCGACCUCUGAAUGCUUGGCUAUGAAAAGCCAACUGACAUUUACUCCUGGGGUGCUGACCUGUUGCACCCUCUACAACCACUGUGAUUAUUAUUUGACCCUGCUGGUCAUCUAUGAACGUUUGAACAUCUUGGCCAUGUUCUGUUAUAAAUCUCUACCCGGCACAAACAGAAAAGGACUGGCCACCUCUCAGAGCCUGGUUCCUCUCUAGGUUUCUUCCUAAAUUCCUGCCUUUCAAAGACGUUUUUCCUAGCCACCAUGCUUCUACAUCUGCAUUGCAUGCUGUUUGUGGGUUUUAGGCUGGGUUUCUGUAUAGCACUUUGUGAUAUCUACUGAUGUAAAAAGGGCUAUUCAAAUACAUUAGAUUGCUUUAUAUCAGCAAUGAUUUUUUUAAAGGCAGUAAAUGAGGCUGAAUGAACUGUUUCGCUGCCAGAUAAGGCUCUGCUGAUAGCCAGAUGUUAUAGUGGUAAGGUUUCACUCCAAGGUGCUGAAAAGAAAGCUCUGCUUUUGGGACAGCUUUAUGUAUGCCCUAACAGUUUGUGGGUACCAUUUGUUACCGUUGUAGUGCAACUAAUGUAUUGUUUAGUGUUGUAGUUUUGCUGGAAUGCAUUAAAAAAAUGUUUUUUGCCCCACCAAGAUUUACAUGCUAAAGUCGCUACUGUGCAUGACUAUAUUAGAGACACAUAUUGCCCUCAGAUUACACAGACCCACAAAGAAUACGAAUUUAAAAAAAUCUAAUUUAGACUCCCAUAUCUCCCAUUUGACUCCCAAACCCCUUGGGUGAAAUACCAUAUUGAGCAUCACAGCAGCAAGAUAUGUAACCUGUUUCCACAAGAAAAGGGCAACCAGUGACGAACAAACACCAUUGUAAAUACAGUUGAAGUCGGAAGUUUACAUACACCUUAGCCAAAUAGAUUUAAACUCAGUUUUUCACAAUUCCUGACAUUUAAUCCCAGUAAAAAUUCCCUGUCUUGGGUCAGUUAGGAUCACCACUUUAUUUUAAGAAUGUGAAAUGUCAGAAUAAUAGUAGAGAGAUUUAUUAAUUUCGGCUUUUAUUUAUUUCGUCACAUUCCCAGUGGGUCAGAAGUUUACAUACACUCAAUUAGUAUUUGGUAAUAUUGCCUUUAAAUUGUUUAACUUGGGUUAAAUGUUUUGGACAGCCUUCCUCAAGCUUUCCACAAUAAGUUGGGUGAAUUUUGGCCCAUUCCUCAUGACAGAGCUGGUGUAACUGAGUCAGGUUUGUAAGCCUCCUUGAUCGCACACGCUUUUUCCGUUCUGCUCACAAAUCUUCUGUAGGAUUAAGGUCAGGGCUUUGUGAUGGCCACUCCAAUACCUUGACUUUGUUGUGGAAAAUGGCUUAAGGACAACUUUGGUUGUUGCUUCAAUAUAUCCACAUAAUUUUCCUACCUCAUGAUGCCAUCUAUUUUGUGAAGUGCACCAGUCCCUCCUGCAGCAAAGCACCCCCACAACAUGAUGCUGCCACCCCCGUGCUUCACGGUUGGGUUGGUGUUCUUCGGCUUGCAAGCCUCCCCCUUUUUCCUCCAAACAUAAUUAUGGUCAAACAGUAAGUACUAUUUUUGUUUCAUCAGACCAGAGGACAUUACUCCAAAAAGUUCCAUCUUUGUCCCCAUGUGGAGUUGCAAACCAUAGUCUGGCUUUUUUAUUGAGGUUUUGGAGCAGUGGCUUCGUCCUUGCUGAGCGGCCUUUCAGGUUAUAUUGAUAUAGGACUCGUUUUACUGUGGAUACAGAUACUUUUGUACCUGUUUCCUCCAGCAUCUUCACAAGGUCCUUUGCUGUUGUUCUGGGAUUGAUUUUCACUUUUUGACCCAAGUACGUUCAUCUCUAGGAGACAGAACGCGUCUCCUUCCUGAGCGGUAUGACGGCUGCGUGGUCCCAUGGUGUUUAUACUUGCGUAUUAUUGUUUGUACAUAUGAACUUGGUACCGUCGGGCAUUUGGAAAUUGCUCCCAAGGAUGUACCAGACUUGUGGAGGUCUACAAAUUCUUUUCCGAGGUCUUGGCUGAUUUAUUUUGAUUUUCCCAUGAUGUUAAGCAAAGAGGCACUGAGGUUGAAAGUAAGCCUUGAAAUACAUCCACAGGUACACCUCCAAUUGACUCAAAGGAUGUCAAUUCGCCUAUCAGAAGCUUCUAAAGCCAUGACAUCAUUUUCUGUUUAAAGGCACAGUCAACUUAGUGUAUGUAAACUUCUGAACCACUGGAAUUGUGAUACAGUGAAUUAUAAGUGAAAUAAUCUGUCUGUAAACAAUCAUUUGAAACAUUACUUGUGUCAUGCACAAAGUAGAUGUCCUAACUGACUUUCCAAAAUUAUCGUUUGUUAAGAAGAAAUUUGUGGAGUGGUUGACAAACGAGUUUUAAUGACUCCAACCUAAGUGUAUGUAGACUUCCGACUUCAACUGUACAACCCAUAUAUUUUUAUUUUUAUUUUCCUUUUGUACUUUAACUAUUUGCACAUUGUUACAACACUGUC
Oncorhynchus tshawytscha (Chinook salmon) is the source of this 3145-nucleotide long non-coding RNA. The record is from Ensembl. NCBI's taxonomy places the organism in Eukaryota, Metazoa, Chordata, Actinopteri, Salmoniformes, Salmonidae.